This 201-nucleotide ribosomal RNA is filed under the name uncultured bacterium. Its description in RNAcentral is "partial 16S ribosomal RNA". It matches the Rfam family "Bacterial small subunit ribosomal RNA", at positions 524 to 723 of the family's 1533-position model. The record is from RNAcentral.
GACAGAGGGUGCAAACGUUGUUCGGAAUUACUGGGCGUAAAGCGCGUGUAGGCGGUUAUGCAAGUCGGGUGUGAAAGCCCAGGGCUCAACCCUGGAAGUGCAUUCGAUACUGCGUAGCUAGAGUACUGGAGAGGAUGGUGGAACUCUGGGUGUAGAGGUGGAAAUUCGUAGAUAUCCAGAAGAACACCGGUGGCGAAGGCG